RNAcentral lists this ribosomal RNA (253 nucleotides) under uncultured bacterium. Its description in RNAcentral is "partial 16S ribosomal RNA". It matches the Rfam family "Bacterial small subunit ribosomal RNA", at positions 524 to 776 of the family's 1533-position model. The record is from RNAcentral.
UACGUAGGGGGCUAGCGUUGUCCGGAAUCAUUGGCCGUAAAGAGCGCGUAGGCGGCUAGAUAAGUCCGGUGUGAAAGUCACAGGCUCAACCUGUGAAUGCCGCUGGAAACUGUCUGGCUAGAGUCCGGAAGGGGCGAGUGGAAUUCCUGGUGUAGCGGUGAAAUGCGCAGAUAUCAGGAGGAACACCAAUGGCGAAGGCAGCUCGCUGGGACGGUACUGACGCUGAGGCGCGAAAGCGUGGGGAGCGAACAGG